GCGGAUGUGGUGAAAUUGGUAUACACGCUAGCUUCAGGUGCUAGUGGGGUCAAACCCGUGGAGGUUCGAGUCCUCUCAUCCGCACCA
Molecule: transfer RNA, 87 nt
Filed under: Candidatus Saccharimonadota bacterium
Lineage: Bacteria; Candidatus Saccharimonadota
Description: tRNA-Leu
Rfam family: tRNA
About the family: Transfer RNA (tRNA) molecules are approximately 80 nucleotides in length. Their secondary structure includes four short double-helical elements and three loops (D, anti-codon, and T loops). Further hydrogen bonds mediate the characteristic L-shaped molecular structure. tRNAs have two regions of fundamental functional importance: the anti-codon, which is responsible for specific mRNA codon recognition, and the 3' end, to which the tRNAs corresponding amino acid is attached (by aminoacyl-tRNA synthetases). tRNAs cope with the degeneracy of the genetic code in two manners: having more than one tRNA (with a specific anti-codon) for a particular amino acid; and 'wobble' base-pairing, i.e. permitting non-standard base-pairing at the 3rd anti-codon position.
Source: RNAcentral